CACUCAAUCCAGCAGCUUCUCCUACAGAUUCUCUACGUAAGACCGGAUGUAUAUUCAACUCUUCUAACAUCAUUUCUGUUAUUUCCUCCUCAUCACUAUAAACACCUGAGCCAUUAUCACGAAGCAAACUCUGGUAAUCCCUACUAGCAGCUAUAGACUCCCCAUCAUUAUACCGAUUAAGAUUGUAUUCCGACUGUAGAUAGUCCAUGCUAAAUUGGCUUACGCUGGCAUCCGAAGAGGGCCUUAAAGUUUGAUGAUGAAAGCUUGAGACACUAGACGGAAUGCUAGUUCCUAACCCAGGGCCAUCGAAAAUACUAUCAUGGCUCAUCA
Molecule: non-coding RNA, 330 nt
Organism: Schizosaccharomyces pombe (fission yeast)
Lineage: Eukaryota; Fungi; Ascomycota; Schizosaccharomycetes; Schizosaccharomycetales; Schizosaccharomycetaceae
Source: the annotation of a GenBank genome assembly